RNAcentral lists this ribosomal RNA (292 nucleotides) under uncultured bacterium. RNAcentral's name for it is "partial 16S ribosomal RNA". It matches the Rfam family "Bacterial small subunit ribosomal RNA", at positions 505 to 796 of the family's 1533-position model. The record is from RNAcentral.
GUGUCAGCAGCCGCGGUAAUACAGAGGGUGCAAGCGUUGUUCGGAAUCACUGGGCGUAAAGGGCGCGUAGGCGGCUUUACAAGUCUGGCGUGAAAGCCCGGGGCUCAACCCCGGAAGUGCGUUGGAAACUGUAGAGCUUGAGUUCGGUAGAGGAGGGCAGAAUUCCCGGUGUAGGGGUGAAAUCCGUAGAUAUCGGGAGGAAAACCAGUGGCGAAAGCGGCCCUCUGGAACGAAACUGACGCUGAGGCGCGAAAGCGUGGGGAGCAAACAGGAUUAGAAACCCGUGUAGUCC